RNAcentral lists this ribosomal RNA (387 nucleotides) under uncultured bacterium. RNAcentral describes it as "bacterial SSU rRNA". It matches the Rfam family "Bacterial small subunit ribosomal RNA", at positions 30 to 417 of the family's 1533-position model. The record is from RNAcentral.
AUUGAACGCUGGCGGCAUGCCUUACACAUGCAAGUCGAACGGCAGCGGACCUUCGGGUGCCGGCGAGUGGCGAACGGGUGAGUAAUAUAUCGGAACGUACCUUUCAGUGGGGGAUAACGUAGCGAAAGUUACGCUAAUACCGCAUAUUCUGUGAGCAGGAAAGCAGGGGAUCGCAAGACCUUGCGCUGAUUGAGCGGCCGAUAUCAGAUUAGCUAGUUGGUGAGGUAAAGGCUCACCAAGGCGACGAUCUGUAGCGGGUCUGAGAGGAUGAUCCGCCACACUGGAACUGAGACACGGUCCAGACUCCUACGGGAGGCAGCAGUGGGGAAUUUUGGACAAUGGGCGGCAAGCCUGAUCCAGCCAUGCCGCCGUGAGUGAAGAAGGACC